GCACCUGCACGCAUGGGGAGUGGGGGUGCAGGCGCCUCCCCACCGUGUGGUUCGAAGCCUCUGGCUAGAGCAAGCUUGGAGAACGACUCUGAGCCCCGUCAGCGCUUUAGGUUUCAGCUCCAGGGCCCCGGGGCUCUGCCGCGCAAGCAGAUGGGCAGUGGAGGCCACAAGGAAGCAGUGGUGGGGUGUCCACUGCUCUCAGUCUCCCCCGUGAGGCCCGAGAGGGAGGAAAACAGCAGGCCAGAACAGCUGGAUCAUACAAGAGCAGCUUCAAAGCGAUAAGAAGCUGGCAGAUGAACCAAACAAGUAAAAGGGAAAAUCCUUACAAGGGAAAGUUGACUCCGAAGGACAGAUUGCAAAAGCCAGAGACGGGGCUGGCCCCACAGAGCAGCCGUGGACGUGCGGGUCCCUCGGACACUCUGAACCGCCGCGACCUGCUGCAGCCCUGAGAGGCGGGGCGGAGGGGGCCGGGGUGGGAGAGGGGCCCCGCAGCGCCCGUGGACUCCCGGGUAGACAAGGCUGCGGGGCCAGAGACACCCCACCAUUCCUUUUCAGUUCGUCUGCCACUUGCCCCUUGCUGUAGCCAGACCAGCUCCUUCCUGCUCCCCUGUACUGCACCGGGUCCUGGAUCAGGCCUCUGCAUGCACAGGGGACAGGGAGCUUCCCUGCACGGCAUCCUCCCACCUUAAGGCCAUGGAAGAUUCAGAAAGCCUGAAAAAAACUUGAGGGGAAGAGCCUUUCACAGACAACUUCCAUCGGUUUCCAGUCUCUGUGUUUCCAGAAAAUUCUAUUACCUGGCUCAAGAGUAAGUGAGCCAUCUGUUUCCUGAUGUCCGUAUACUGAUUACAGGAAGGCUGCAGAGGUUAA
Long non-coding RNA from Leopardus geoffroyi (Geoffroy's cat), 867 nucleotides. RefSeq lists it as uncharacterized. The record is from RefSeq and is a predicted model, not a curated record. NCBI's taxonomy places the organism in Eukaryota, Metazoa, Chordata, Mammalia, Carnivora, Felidae. The transcript is spliced from 2 exons.